GCUUGGUUCUGAUACUGAGGUUACAGGGCACCGAGCUGGAUUCUGAUACUGAGGUUACAGGGCACCGAGCUGCGUUCUGAUACUGAGGAUACAGGGCACCGAGCUGAGUUCUGAUACUGAGGAUACAGGGCACCGAGCUGGGUUCUGAUACUGAGGUUACAGGGCACCGAGCUGGGUUCUGAUACUGAGGAUACAGGGCACCGAGCUGGGUUCUGAUACUGAGGAUACAGGGCACCGAGCUGGGUUCUGAUACUGAGGAUACAGGGCACCGAGCUGGGUUCUGAUACUGAGGAUACAGGGCACCGAGCUGGGUUCUGAUACUGAGGAUACAGGGCACCGAGCUGGGUUCUGAUACU
This is a long non-coding RNA of Brienomyrus brachyistius, 356 nucleotides long. RefSeq lists it as uncharacterized. The record is from RefSeq and is a predicted model, not a curated record. The transcript has 4 exons. NCBI's taxonomy places the organism in Eukaryota, Metazoa, Chordata, Actinopteri, Osteoglossiformes, Mormyridae.